GACGAACGCUGGCGGCGUGCUUAACACAUGCAAGUCGAACGGAAAGGCCCUGCUUUUGUGGGGUGCUCGAGUGGCGAACGGGUGAGUAACACGUGAGUAACCUGCCCUUGACUUUGGGAUAACUUCAGGAAACUGGGGCUAAUACCGGAUAGGAGCUCCUGCUGCAUGGUGGGGGUUGGAAAGUUUCGGCGGUUGGGGAUGGACUCGCGGCUUAUCAGCUUGUUGGUGGGGUAGUGGCUUACCAAGGCUUGGACGGGUAGCCGGACUGAGAGUGUGACCGGCUCCAGUGGCCUAGGGGAGGGACCCGGGCGCAAUCGGGGGCAAGGGGCGAGAACUAGAGCAAACGGGGCGGAGUGCGGGUGGAGCGUCGUCGGGUGGGGGAGGACGGUAAUUGGGUAGGAAAGCGAGUUCGUUUGUAACGAGGUGUGAGGAAGUGUACUGGAGAAUGAGGCACGGGCAACUUCGUG
RNAcentral lists this ribosomal RNA (467 nucleotides) under uncultured bacterium. RNAcentral describes it as "partial 16S ribosomal RNA". The stretch from base 20 to 328 matches the Rfam family "Bacterial small subunit ribosomal RNA", at positions 47 to 358 of the family's 1533-position model. The record is from RNAcentral.